Molecule: small RNA, 70 nt
Filed under: Lederbergia galactosidilytica
Lineage: Bacteria; Bacillati; Bacillota; Bacilli; Caryophanales; Bacillaceae
Description: Bacillus galactosidilyticus Bacillaceae-1 RNA
Rfam family: Bacillaceae-1 RNA
Source: Rfam by way of RNAcentral
GUGUAAGGAUUUAAUGCUAAUAUCGCCACAUCCUGUGGCGGCAACUCCUGAGUAACCGACAUUCUGUAGG